UAUAAAUGAUUAAACAGGACAUGCUCUUUUUUGUGUGCAGGAAUCUGUGGGCUGUAAAAGACAGCAUAGACUUUUGAUUGAAAUUAUUUGAAGAACUUGGUUUUAAUUUUGCUUUAUUGUAACGAAAUAGAGCAACUUUAGGUUGCUGAAAUUAAAACUUAGAGGGCUCAGACAAAAGAAAUCAAUCUACACAUAAAAUCAUUUUAUGAACUGCUUUAUCCAUUACCAACCUCAAGAUGGCUCUGUUCUCCUAACUAAGCAUGUACAGACAAAAAUGUUCAACAUUAAAUGUUAGGCUUUUUUAUCUUUGGAACAUUUUGUGUGUGUGUGUGUAGAGAGAGAGAGAGAGAGAGAGAGAGAUUGUUUGUUACAUGGUAAUUAAUCUGUUUAGCAGUGUUCUUCACUCCUGGUGUCUCCUCUGCACACAGCUCCAAGGAGCCCGUCUGUGUUACACCUGCGGGUCCUGAUACGUUUCGCUCCACUACAGCUGGACCAGCUGGACCAGCA
This is a long non-coding RNA of Sander lucioperca (pikeperch), 507 nucleotides long. RefSeq lists it as uncharacterized. The transcript has 2 exons. Lineage: Eukaryota; Metazoa; Chordata; Actinopteri; Perciformes; Percidae. The record is from RefSeq and is a predicted model, not a curated record.